Long non-coding RNA from Gossypium raimondii (Peruvian cotton), 1177 nucleotides. RefSeq lists it as uncharacterized. The transcript is spliced from 3 exons. Lineage: Eukaryota; Viridiplantae; Streptophyta; Magnoliopsida; Malvales; Malvaceae. The record is from RefSeq and is a predicted model, not a curated record.
CAAGUAAACCCGAAGCAGAUCUUGCAUUUUGCUGGUCAAAGGCCGCAUCAAAGUAGAUUGAGGUUCUCGUACUACUCUCUUCAGUUCGCGGGGCACCAUCAUCUGCCAAGAUAAGUUUCUUCUCCUCGAUUCUUUUAAGCUCUGCGAAAAAAUCUGAAAUUUUAUAAGAGAUAUCCCUGCCUGUUGUUUGUCUAUUUUCGUAAACAAAUUUGUUUCUUCUCGUCCAGAUGGUCCAAAGCCCGCAGUAGAAGAUUCGACAUUGUUCCGUUGUACCGCGACUAAAAACCCAUAGCAUUCACGGAAGAUAUGAUUGCAAUCCUCCUCUUCCAGUUUACAACGAGGACAUCGAGCAUCUGCAAGCAUUCGUUUUUUCUUCAGAUUAGCAAAAGUAGGAAAGUAGUUCCAAGAGAAUCCCCAUAUUGAAGCUUUGAUUUUUGAGGGAAUUUGUAGAUUCCAAAGUUUUUUGUAAAAAGCUUUAGUCUCGGUUUGUAAAUUAAUAGGAAUUUGAGAACCCUAUUGUAAUAGUUUGUAUGCGCUUCGAACCGAAAAAAUGCCAGAAAGUUCUCCUCUCCAGACUUGAAAAUCUUCAGUUGCUGUCGUUGCCAGUGGAAUUUGCAAGAUCUUUUUAACAACUUCAGCAUUGAAGAGGUCCUCCCAAACAGCAAUACGAUCUCCUUUGCCAACCCUCCAGCAAAGUCCUUUUUCAAGAAUACCUCUUGCCAACCAGAUACUCUUCCAGGUAAGCGAAGGUAAAUUUCCUAAUUGAGCCUUUAGAAAACACGCAUUCGGAUAGUAUUUAGCUUUCAAUACUCGGCCUAGCAAAGAAUCUGGAUAAUUAAUAAGACGCCAAGCCUGUUUAGCUAAUAAUGCGAUAUUAAAUUUGUCAAGUUUUCUAAAUCCAAGUCCGCCUGCUUCUUUUAAGUCACAUACCUCCUUCCACGUACACCAAUGAAUCCCCUUCUUACCCCUAUUCUUCCCCCACCAGAAUCUGGCAAUUAUACCUUCCAAUUCAUUGCAAAGAGACUUAGGAAGUAAAAAGCACGCCAUAGAAUAAGUUGGAAUUGACUGUAAUACUGCCUUGAUAAAAAACCUCUUUUCCCCAUUGAGAGAGAAAUUUAACACUCCAAUUAUCAAUUCUUUAUUUUAAAUUGUCCUUCAACCUCUGAAAAGCUGUUUU